This 3165-nucleotide long non-coding RNA is filed under the name Gallus gallus (chicken). RNAcentral describes it as "lncRNA (ENSGALG00010019321.1)". Lineage: Eukaryota; Metazoa; Chordata; Aves; Galliformes; Phasianidae. The record is from RNAcentral.
AGGCCAGUCUGAUGUGCAAGACACUUCUUAAAAUUCCCACUAUAGCUUUUUAAGCAAACAUGAAAUCCUUGCUGAUAACGUUUGCCUUGCUGUCAGUGGUAACGGGAAGGUAAAGAAUGAAGAAAGGAGGGAUGGAAUCCAUAGCAAUCUGGAUGAUUUAAGAAAGCAUGUUUGUAAUGCACGGAAAUAUUGCUCCUCCAGGAAAAAGGAACAUGUGCCUUACCACCAGAAGAGACCGAGUUCUGGGAAGCCGUGAGUCAGAUGAGGAUGUGGUGCCAGGGUGGAUCUGCAGCUGAAGAGUUCAUGGGACCAGGAUGUGGCUGACUCUUCACUGGAAAUGGGGGUGUAUAAUGCCAGACAGACAAUACAGGAGCCAACUGUUCUUGGGACAUAGUCAAGAAUGACCGUCCUUAAUGAAGACUAAUUGGAGGAGUAAAAGCAACCAACCUGCAUUCAUCGAAAGCAAGUCAUACCAGAACAAAGUGAUGACACUUCUUUGCCUGGGUAACCCACUUGAAGGAGAUGAGACACUAUGUGUAACAUACAGCCAUGUGAAUUAAUAAAGAACAACCUCCCUCCAACUUAGCUUUUCCACCUGAAUCUGAUAGUGAAAUUUAUUCUUCUUUGAUAUCCUCAGUUAAAGGCCGUGCCAGUGUGCUGAGAACAGAGAUGGGAAAUGAAUCAACAUGCGACAAAGCUUGCUGGAACCAGCAAGGAUCUUCCCAUGGGUGUCAGCAAGCUUUCAUUCAGCUCCUUUCAUAGCAGAUUUUCUGAAAGAGCUGAGCUCCCCUACAGGGGCCAGAUUUGCAAAAGAGCAGAGCAGGUGGGAGGCUUCCGGGGAAAAUCUGUUGAUAAAUGCCAAGCAGAAGCAGCAGGGAUCUGAGCUUGCUGGAGGAGCUGAGGAGAUUUCCUGAAGCAUGCUUUCAGAGAUCGGUUCCCACCUACUUUCCCACCAAGCAAGCUGCCAAGAUGUAAUGGCCACUGAGAGCUGCUCUGCAGGCUUGUUUGGGAGAAUGUGUCCAGCAGAGAUUUGUCUACCCUCAGCUCUGCUAAUACACUCCAGUGCCAGAUCACUUUAUUAAUUAUUCCAGCUCUAAACCACACCAGGUCUGCAGUCACCUUCUGGCUCUACUUACUGCACCAAAGACACUCCAUGCAAGCAGAAUUUCCUCAGCACUUCCUUCAGGCUUAAGAGAAGCAUUCUGCAAGCCUGGAUGUGAUAAACUCUGGCACUACACCGCAUGGAGUUGAAGCCAGAUUCAAGCUUGGCAGGAAUCCGCUUAUCACUAUGGGGCAUGUGAACUACAGAGUCAUUAAGGUUGGAAAAGACCACUAAGAUCAUCUAAUCCAGCUGUCAACCCAUCGCCACCAUGCCCACGUGUAACUUAACUGUGCAGCCAUGGAGUCACUGCUGCUAUUCAGGCUCGAAGCCCCAGUUGAACUGGUUCCUUCCAUGGUGGAGUGCAUAUGAUUUAGAGGAGCUCACCUGCCUUUGCACAGCUCUCCCAGGAGAAGAAAUAAGAGAUUUAGCUAGCUCUGCCCUGCUUGCAGAAAUGAGGUUUGCACCACAUUUCUCUGCUGUGAGUACAAGAGCUCAUGUGCCUGCUUUGUGGAGAAAUGCACUUCUGUGCUUUGGAUGCACUAUUUUCCUUGACCUCUGGACUGGAAACCAUUUGUGUGGGUGGGAGUCCAGCCCAACUCUGUAAUUAGGAAAGCUAUUAAUAAUUAGAGAACUUGUUAUCUACCAGAGGAUGGAGAACUACACAUGCUAUCGCAAAAAUAAAUAAAUAAAUAAAUGAUCACCUCCUGUGGAAAGAGCUGUGGUUUGCACAAUGUUUUGAGAAACGUGUAGCUGAUCUGUCAUAAAUCAUGGAUUUCUUUGUUUGCUACACCAUCUUGGAUCAGUCCUGGCCAGCAAUAGGACAGAGCUGACAUUCUUCUGAAGAAAUAGUGGGAUCAUCUCCGUGUACCAGAAGGAAAACCAUACAAAUUACAGUUUAGAUUCUCUUUAUUUCCCUACUAGCUACCAGAACAUCAAGGAAACGCAACGUCUCAGACUUUUCAAACGUGAUAUCUAGGAGCACAUUUUUUUUUUUUUUUUAAGAAAAAAAGGAAAAAAUCCAGGACUGACACCAGAAACUGAAAAUUUCAGGGAGACAAAAACAACGACAAAAAAAUCCGUGAAGAGCUGUGAGGUUCAUAAUCACAAGGAGCAAUAAUCGCAAGAGAUAGCGAUAAUGGCAACGCUGCUGCCAGAGCCAGCAGGGCAGCAGAGGCUCAGCAGGCAGGGCUUGCCCUGGUGCCCUUCACCGGUCUUUUUUACUGGCUCAUUAAGUAGAACCGUUGCAAAAAGAAGAGAGUCAAAAUUGGUUUCCCCUCAGAAAGUCAGUUUAACAGAAUUAUCCACCCACAAAUAAGUGUCAAAACAAAUCUUUCCACCUUGCCCAGCUUGCUCCGAUAAUGUCAAGUCAGUGCAUCUCAGUCCUCCUGAUAAUUUGUUCCAGUGACAUAAAAUGCUGCUUCACAACUUUGUUUCAUUCCAUUUUAGCUUUAUUACAGACAAAUUAACAUUCAUUUUCGUUUUAAUGGACCUUACCAUUUGCAGCAUUAAUAUUUUGGAUUCAGUAUUUUUAAAGCCAAGUGUGCUCUGACUCUUUUGCUGUUUGCUGUUUCAGCAUUGCUGGAAGUAAAUGUCAAUCAACAUUAUUGCAAAUGGCAUGUUUGUCCAGCACUAAGAUGGGCUGAAAAUUUCAGAAAGAGAGCUUUUUAUUAAAAUCUCAGCUUUUUUUUAACUAUCUGUUCUAUUUUUGUAUAAAACCAGAGUUUGGAAUUUCCAGAACCUGCAGUGUGGUGAAAGAUCUAUUUUUUCCUACCAUUCAUUUUCAAAUGCAGACAGAUGCUAAUGACUUUACUUUCAAAGGUCUUCAAUUAAUUACCAUGUUGAUACUCAUUUAACAAGAUUUUCUGGCCCGCACCUGUUCCCCUGUACAAGACUUUGCCUUCCCACCAUCAUCCUGAUCCCCUCUCUCAGGCUCUCUGCUUGUCACUGCUACAUAAAUUACUUUCCACUUUCAGAGUGAAAGGGCAAACAGUGCUAUCAUGAUAAGAAACCCAAGAACAAGGAGUUGCUUUUGGGGCUUGCAGGGUGCUUUUAGGGCUAGGUAG